GCGGCCGCCCUGAGGGCCUGGGGGCUCGCUCCAGGGAUCCCCUCUCUGGCCUCCUGCUCCCAGGGCCUCACCAGAGCAGUUGCCGACGGGGCAAGGCCGGAAGUGGCCAUCCAGUCGUGUGCAGGGGGGGCCCGCCCCCGCCCCUCCAGGCGCCGCUCCCUGGUGCCGGUAGCGCUGCUGGACCAGCACCCGACAGGAGCACCGCGUCCAGCUGCUCCAGCUGCUCCAGACGCAUUCCUCUGGGGACCAAGGUGGGGGGAUGCCAGCCAGACCCCGCCAGCCUCUCCCCUCCCUCCCUGCCCUUCCCCUCCCCUCUGAUAUCAUCCCAGCCCUGGCCAACACCCUGCACAGUAAAAGGGCAAAAGGGAGCCAAGAAUUCACACAAGUCCUAAUUCACUGUGCUCCCUGUCCCCUAGCAGCGAGGGUCACAUCCCAAAAAGCUCAGAGGAAAAUGGCGGGAAGAGGAAAGAGAGGAGAUAAAAUAUCAGGGGGCUAGAUCUGCAUCUUGGGAGGACCAUCUGGGGUUUGGGAAAACAUGCUACUCCCUGUACCUCUCCUGUGCACACUCACCCAGGCAGGGCCCUGGGUAGCAGGCCCGGGUGUCCUGGUGCAGGAAGGUGCCAUUGCAGGUGGGGUCGGCUCUGGCCAGUGGGCAGGGGCAGGACCCAGAGCGGGAGGCCAGGCCAGGGCCGCAGCUGCGGGAACAGGGCCCCCAGGGACCCCAGGAGCAGGCGUCCAGCCGCCCCAGACAGGCCUCCUCAUCGGCAGCAUCGGGACAGUCGGAACGUCCAUCACAGAGCAGGCCGGGGGGCAGGCAGUGCCCAUCAGCGCAGGCCAGCCAGUCGUGGGGGCACGGGCAGCCCUGCUCAUCCGUCCCAUCGCCACAGUCGUCCCGCCCGUCACAGAGCAGGGCCAGGGGCAGGCAGCGGCCCGAGCUGCAGGACACCUGCCCCUCCCCACAGCCUGGGGUGGCACAGCCUGGCACGGGGAGAGCAGGCAAGGGCAAGAUGACAAAGGGUCCUAGAGAAGCCCCCGACCCCCGAAAGACCAGAACAGCCCUGCCCACCAGCCACAGCCGCUGGCAACGUGAGCCACAGCUCAGGAAGCCACUCAGUUCAGUGUAGGAGACACCGCAUAGUAGGAGAGACCCGUCACUCAGCCAUUGCCCCACACAGACAAGGACACUCACCCUCCUCGUCUGAGCCAUCGCCACAAUCAUCCUGGUUGUCACAAAGCCACUCGUGGGGCACACAGUGCCCACCAUCCUGGCACAGGACCUCUCCAUCUACACAGCCGGGCACCAGCUCCUCACAGCGGGUCCUGCCGCUCCCACAAAGCCACUGACUUUCCUGGCAUGUGCUGAGCACACGGCGUCCUGGGAUCAGCCCCAGCGCUCAGCUCUGGCCACCCAGGGGCUGGGGCUCCCCUGCGGCCCGCCCCACUCACCAGUUCCCACAGUCCUUCUGGACCACCGUCCCCGGCGGGAAGAAGCUGCCCCCUGACUCACAGGGGCAGGAAGCUGGCUCUAAGCAGACUCCUCCUGGGAUCA
Molecule: long non-coding RNA, 1549 nt
Organism: Suricata suricatta (meerkat)
Lineage: Eukaryota; Metazoa; Chordata; Mammalia; Carnivora; Herpestidae
Source: Ensembl